RNAcentral lists this ribosomal RNA (252 nucleotides) under uncultured bacterium. RNAcentral's name for it is "partial 16S ribosomal RNA". It matches the Rfam family "Bacterial small subunit ribosomal RNA", at positions 524 to 776 of the family's 1533-position model. The record is from RNAcentral.
GACGGAGGAUGCAAGUGUUAUCCGGAAUCACUAGGCGUAAAGCGUCUGUAGGUGGUUUAAAAAGUCUACUGUUAAAGCUUGAAGCUUAACUUCAAAAAUGCCGUAGAAACUUUUAAACUUGAGUAUGGUAGGGGUAGAGGGAAUUCCAGUGGAGCGGUGAAAUGCGUAGAUCUUGGAAAGACCACCAAUGGCGAAGGCACUCUACUGGGCCAUUACUGACACUAAGAGACGAAAGCUAGGGGAGCAAAUGGG